GCCUGGGUGGCUUAGUUGGUUAAGUGUCUGACUUUGGCUCAAGUCAUGAUCUCACAGUUUGUUGGUUCAAGCCCGGCAUCAGGCU
This 85-nucleotide transfer RNA is filed under the name Felis catus (domestic cat). It matches the Rfam family "tRNA". From Rfam's summary of the family: Transfer RNA (tRNA) molecules are approximately 80 nucleotides in length. The record is from Rfam by way of RNAcentral. Lineage: Eukaryota; Metazoa; Chordata; Mammalia; Carnivora; Felidae.